RNAcentral lists this long non-coding RNA (209 nucleotides) under Capsicum annuum. Its description in RNAcentral is "long non-coding RNA (CANN_LNC021033)". The record is from RNAcentral. Lineage: Eukaryota; Viridiplantae; Streptophyta; Magnoliopsida; Solanales; Solanaceae.
CCCAUAACCCUGAUGCCCAACACCUCCCUCUUCCAAAAAGAGUAAUAAUUUUUUUUUGUUUUUUUUUUAAAUCUUACUACCUCCACCGCACCCAUCCACCCCCCCUCCACACACACACCUACCUUGUCCCUAAUUUUUUUUUAAACCUUUUAACUUUUAUUUUUUUCAAAAAAAUUAUUUUUUCUACCCCUAUCCCAAACGUCACCUAC